CAAUAGCGUAUAUUAAUGUUGUUGCAGUUAAAAAGCUCGUAGUUGAAUUUCUGGGUAGUCCACCUUGUCCGUCUAUGAUGUGUACAGGGAGGGGCUACUCAUCCUUCUGUUGAACCUUUCGGUCAUUCAGUUGUCCGGAUGUGGGAUCAGAUACUUUACUUUGAAAAAAUUAGAGUGUUUCAGGCAGGCAAUCGCUGGAAUACAUUAGCAUGGAAUAAUAAAAUAGGAUUUUGGUACUAUUUGUUGGUUUUUAGGACCAAAGUAAUGAUUAAUAGGGAUAGUUGGGGGCAUUAGUAUUUAAUUGUCAGAGGUGAAAUUCUUGGAUUUGUUAAAGACUAACUUAUGCGAAAGCAUUUGCCAAGGAUGUUUUCAUUAA
Molecule: ribosomal RNA, 376 nt
Filed under: uncultured eukaryote
Lineage: Eukaryota
Description: partial 18S ribosomal RNA
Rfam family: Eukaryotic small subunit ribosomal RNA
Source: RNAcentral